This 253-nucleotide ribosomal RNA is filed under the name uncultured bacterium. RNAcentral describes it as "partial 16S ribosomal RNA". It matches the Rfam family "Bacterial small subunit ribosomal RNA", at positions 524 to 776 of the family's 1533-position model. The record is from RNAcentral.
UACGUAGGGGGCAAGCGUUGUCCGGAAUCAUUGGGCGUAAAGCGCGUGUAGGCGGCCUUGUAAGUCCGUUCUGAAAGCCCGGGGCUCAACCCCGGGAGGCGGAUGGAUACUGCAGGGCUCGAGUCCGGAAGGGGCGAGUGGAAUUCCUGGUGUAGCGGUGAAAUGCGCAGAUAUCAGGAGGAACACCUAUGGCGAAGGCAGCUCGCUGGGACGGUACUGACGCUGAGGCGCGAAAGCGUGGGGAGCAAACAGG